Long non-coding RNA from Leptinotarsa decemlineata (Colorado potato beetle), 635 nucleotides. NCBI's taxonomy places the organism in Eukaryota, Metazoa, Arthropoda, Insecta, Coleoptera, Chrysomelidae. The record is from RefSeq and is a predicted model, not a curated record.
UGUUUCUUCGCGUUUUCUACUCAGUUUUUCGGUAGAUUUGAUGAUUGUGGAAAUAGAAGUGAAAGUGUUGUGCUAUAUGUUGGUGUCGAAUUGUUUACGAUUUUGUCAAACAUCAAUCAGAUAACCUACUACUUCUCCUGUGAAGGAAGAAAACGGACAAACUCGAUGAUUUUGUCAAACAGAUUCGCACAAAAAUUUGGAUUAGGAUUCUAGUUACCCUCUGCUUCAAAGUUGACUCUAUACCGGGGGUUGGUUUUACUCUAGUUGUAGUUGUCUUCCGUCUCUGGGGUGAAAAUUAUAUCAUUGAUGGUGAAUCUGGGAAUAGAUAGUUCGACUACUUCUAAGCAACUUUCGAUCUGUUACCCAUGUUUUCGGAAGAUUUUUGCUAAUAUCUCAAAACUGAAGUAUUUAAGCGAAAAAAAUGCUUCAAGUUUGAAUGUAGCUCAUGAAAUAACAAAAAGAAUUGUGACCGUAGACUCAAUACAAACAGUAGAAAGUUUUAACGAGAAAUUUACAUACAAUGGAUAUUUCGGGAAAAACUCAACGAACCUUUUUUGAAGUGCUUAGAGUAACAUUAAUCAUUGUUGUCUGUAAAUGUUCAUGGAAUCAAAACUAAGCAAGUAAUAGCAGUUAAA